UUAAAGAACCUCAGACUGCAGUGCCAUAGUUCUAAUGAUGUUUCUACAAGAACACUGUAGAAGCAUGAGUCUCUUUUUUGCAGACAUGUUACCUGUCAAUCCUCUGUUACAAUUUUGGAGUGGAAACCUACGAAUGGAAGAGGUAUGAACAGAGCUCCUUCUGGCUCAGCCAGAGUUAUGACAUUGGGAAGAUGGACACGAAGCAUUCUGUUGGCAAAGAAAUGCAGAUCUCUGAUUUUCCUUGCUACCCUUCUGUUCUC
Molecule: long non-coding RNA, 260 nt
Filed under: Calidris pygmaea (Spoon-billed sandpiper)
Lineage: Eukaryota; Metazoa; Chordata; Aves; Charadriiformes; Scolopacidae
Description: lncRNA (ENSCPGG00000001589.1)
Source: RNAcentral